Long non-coding RNA from Ostrea edulis (European flat oyster), 1948 nucleotides. RefSeq lists it as uncharacterized. Lineage: Eukaryota; Metazoa; Mollusca; Bivalvia; Ostreida; Ostreidae. The record is from RefSeq and is a predicted model, not a curated record. The transcript is spliced from 2 exons.
UUACUAAAGUUCGUAGACGUAGACGUAAACGUAGGAUUUACGUCUGACUUAAGAUUAGAGUUACGUUCUCGUGAAAUGGUAUUUACAAAACCGUUCGUAGCCGCAAACGUAACUUACGAUGUACGAUUGCACGUACGCGUGCGCAGUGGCUAUUUUCACUUCGAAGCGUAAAAAGUGUGAAUUUGCUCAUUUACUUUGACUUCCCUGCGCUACCGCCGCAUUAUGACGAAAAAGAACACAGAACUUUGUGAGAAAGCAACGAAUUUCAACGUAUACGUAUGCCUGCCAACGGCAUGUCGAUCAACUGUACCGUUAUUCAGUGUUGUUUACAAAUCCAAAUGGAAGGUUCAUCAAAUUUAACGCAUUUGACUUGUGCAUGGAUCUGCGAUGCUGUAGGUCUUCAAAAAGAAGUCGGCAUGGACUGACAAGUAAGUUAAGUUGUUUGUGUAGUAAUAACCUUAAAUGUUUUACCACUGACUACUCGUCACUAGGCCCCUAAAUAAUGUUAAAUUGACUUCAAGGGGAUUCAGUACAUGACACACAUGGUAAAACCACAGUCCCUUAUUCAUUUUGUUCUCAACCUAUGUAGCUGCUAUAAUGCCUGGAUCUUAAUUUCUAAAUAGUGAGCACAUAUACAUAUGUGUAAGUUAUUUACAAUUUGAUAUGUGCCCACUAUUAACACAUUAAGACACAAGCUCAUUUGUGUACAUGGUAACUUCAAACUUUUGACAAUACCACAAUUGAAAUUCAAAAUUAUUUAUCCCAUUUUUUUAAUUUCAUGACUGGAACAACAUCAAAGCAGUAUCAUAGCUACCUGUACACAAGUAUGCACAUGCUUUCACAUCAUUUCGCAAAAAGAAAAACAAGAAUAUUGGUGAAAAAUGAAUCUAAAAUAUACAUUAUAUAUACAGGCACUUAUUCUAAAAUGUGUGAUUUGUACGUGCCCCUCUAUUGCAUGGUUAUAAAAUAUGAAAAUUAUUAUUGCUUUAACAAUAUAUACUCUGGGCGAACAGGUAGAGAGGGUGAAUGGACUCGGUACCAGAUGAGGACAGUUACAGUCUCUUUUAGCAUCAUUUCAAUUAUUGCUUGUCCACAUCCAUGUGCAAAACUUUCAGAAAAUAUUGUGAAACAAAAUCGCAUUCAAAUACAGUUGUACAACUGUGUGAAGUCAGUGUUAAUUUAUUUAAUGUAGAAUAACAUUGACUAUAUAUUAAUUGGAGAUAUUAGGUGUGAUAUAAUGCACUAGAUAUCCAAGUUAGCUGACCUCUGUUAUUUUUCAAAGGGUCAUAAAGGUGGUCAAGAAAUAAAUUGCCAAAAGACAGCAGCAUUCCUUGAUUUAGAUACAUUUCUCUUCAUGUCCUCUCCUGAAAGAUUUUCCAUGAUGCUUCAGGGUUAGGACUGGGAUGCAAGAUGUACAGUACAUAUAUAUGAUGUCUAUGGGUACAUUGCUGUAAUGGCCUGAAAAAUCUUUUGCGAAACCGAGAAAUGUUCAUCUUCCAUUGCCAUGAUUGUGUAAAAGGACGAGCAGAGGAAUGAUUCAAAAAUAUAUGGCAGGAUUGAGAAUCUAACCCAUGACCCGUAGUCUGGUACUCUACCCACUGAUCAAUCCAUGCUGAUGGUCCAUCUGCUACAUUGAUGUCAUCUUAUAUAUUUAUUUAUUCAUUUAUAUAUCAUAUGGGCAUUUAAAAAUUGGCAGUAAAAUAAAAAAAAGUUUGAUAUUCAGCAAAAUAGAAUUUGUUACAAUACAUGUUUAAGAAAUUAAGUACAUGUACAUGCAUUGUUAUGCACACAAUUAUGUACAUGUAAUUAUAUUUGUUAAUAGAUAAAUUCUUAGAUGAAUUUUCAUGUUGUUAUUGAUAUUGACAUGUACAUGUAUUACUUCCAUUUCUAGAAUGAUUUUAACAUCUUGAUAUUAAAAUGAUGACAUAAUAAAUAAAUCUUAAAUAUU